GAUGAAGAACGCAGUGAAAUGCGAUACGUAAUGUGAAUUGCAGAAUUCAGUGAAUCAUCGAAUCUUUGAACGCACAUUGCGCCCGCCAGCACUCUGGCGGGCAUGCCUGUUCGAGCGUCAUUUCAACCAUCAAGCCCCAGGCUUGCGUUGGAGCCCUGCGGCUGCCGCAGCCUCCUAAAAGCAGUGGCGGGCUCGCUAUCACACCGAGUGCAGUAGAUUACUCUUCGCUCAGGGCGUGCAGCGGGUUCCGGCCGUGAAACCCCCUACUUUUAAAGGUUGACCUCGGAUCAGGUAGGAAUACCCGCUGAACUUAAGCAUAUCAAUAAGCGGUGGA
Molecule: unclassified non-coding RNA, 334 nt
Filed under: soil metagenome
Description: partial contains 5.8S ribosomal RNA, internal transcribed spacer 2, and large subunit ribosomal RNA
Rfam family: 5.8S ribosomal RNA (bases 1-120)
Source: RNAcentral